This 804-nucleotide long non-coding RNA is filed under the name Prunus persica (peach). Its description in RNAcentral is "long non-coding RNA (PPER_LNC001243)". Lineage: Eukaryota; Viridiplantae; Streptophyta; Magnoliopsida; Rosales; Rosaceae. The record is from RNAcentral.
AUGACUGUGAGAUGAGUGAGGUUCAACUAGCCUUGAAGAGGUUCCGCAUUAAGUAUCCUGAUGCUAUCAGGGAGACUGCUGUGAAGGGUUUACUGCAAGGGGUUGCUGCACAUCAUGCUGGCUGUCUACCUUUAUGGAAAUCAUUCAUAGAAGAGCUGUUUCAGCGAGGACUUGUUAAGGUUGUCUUUGCUACAGAAACACUUGCUGCAGGAAUCAACAUGCCUGCUAGGACAGCCAUUAUUGCAUCCCUUAGCAAAAGAAGCGACAGUGGACGUACCCAAUUAAGCCCAAAUGAGCUGUUUCAAAUGGCUGGGCGUGCUGGACGUAGAGGGAUUGAUGAAAGGGGUCACGUAGUGCUUGUUCAAAGUCCUUAUGAAGGUGCUGAAGCCUGUUGCAAGAUUGUUUUUGCUGGACUUGAACCUUUGGUGUCCCAGUUUACAGCUUCAUAUGGAAUGGUGCUAAAUCUUCUUGCCGGUGCAAAAUUUACCUCUAGAUCAAAUGAAUCAGAUGACACGGAAGCUUCCCAAUCAGGGCGAACCCUGGAAGAAGCUAGAAAGUUAGUCGAGCAAAGUUUUGGAAACUAUGUUGGCAGCAAUGUUAUGCUUGCUGCAAAAGAAGAGCUUACUAGAAUUCAGAAAGAAAUUGAGAUACUGACUUUGGAAAUUAGCGAUGAUGCCAUCGAUAGAAAGAGCAGGAAGCUUCUAUCUGGACCAGCAUAUAAGGAGAUUGCAGAUCUACAGGAAGAAUUAAGAGCAGAGAAACGCCUAAGAACUGAACUUAGAAGAAGAAUGGAAUCUCAGAAAC